AGCGAACGCUGGCGGCAGGCUUAACACAUGCAAGUCGAGCGGGCACUUUCGGGUGUCAGCGGCGGACGGGUGAGUAACGCGUGGGAACGUGCCCUCUGGUUCGGAAUAACUCAGGGAAACUUGAGCUAAUACCGGAUACGCCCUUUUGGGGAAAGGCUUGCUGCCGGAGGAUCGGCCCGCGUCUGAUUAGCUAGUUGGUGAGGUAACGGCUCACCAAGGCGACGAUCAGUAGCUGGUCUGAGAGGAUGAUCAGCCACACUGGGACUGAGACACGGCCCAGACUCCUACGGGAGGCAGCAGUGGGGAAUAUUGGACAAGGGGCGCAAGCCUGAUCCAGCCAGGCCGCGUGAGUGAUGAAGGCCUUAGGGUUGUAAAGCUCUUUUAUCCGGGACGAUAAUGACGGUACCGGAGGAAUAAGCCCCGGCUAACUUCGU
RNAcentral lists this ribosomal RNA (434 nucleotides) under uncultured bacterium. RNAcentral's name for it is "partial 16S ribosomal RNA". It matches the Rfam family "Bacterial small subunit ribosomal RNA", at positions 29 to 506 of the family's 1533-position model. The record is from RNAcentral.